CAGGCUUCUGGGUGGAUGGGGCCCAGCACCCACAGCCUAGGCUGGCUGCCUGAGAGUAGCGAGUGACAGGUAAGGGCUCUGAACCUUCCUGCGUGCUACCCAAGGAGUGCCUAGGGCUACCAGGAGGCCCAGGGAGGAACCUUGAGACCUGAGAAAGGCUUUUCUUCCCCGAGAGGACCACUGCUCAGGCUCAGAGGCCAUGGGGUGAAGUGCACAAAAAAGUGGGCGUCCAGCCAUGCUCUAAGUCCCCCGAAGAUGAAGACCAGGGAGCAGCUUCCUCCAAUGAAGCAGCAGCAAUCAGAGGACCAGGAGGCUGAAGCCCUGAGCCCAGCCAGAGGCAGGAUCAGCCAAGUCUGGGACAGGCUUCAAUUAUUUUAGGAGCUUCUGGUUCCUGGGCCUUCAGACUUGGACUAGAACUUCACUACCAGCUUUCCUGGGUCUCCAGCUUGCAGAGAGCAGAUCGCAGAACUUCUUAGCCUCCAUAAUCACAAGAACGUGUUUGCUUCCCCUUCCACCAUGAUUGUAAGUUUCCUGAGGCCUCCCCAGUCCUGCAGAACUGCUUUGAAGAAGACCACUGCGUCGGUAUUUGUGAAAUGUUUUGAGCCUCUGGAUUUAAAUAAGGUUGGCACCGCUUCUGUUGCUUCCAGGAAGAUUGCAUACACAUGUAAAACCGGAAAAACGUUAAUGAAGAGAAAAACUAAAAGCUCCCGCCCCCACCCAGGCCUGCUCAGAAGAACCCAAGCCACUCAGAAGCAGGAGGCAGCCUUCACCCCAACCAGACCAAUAUCCGUUCCAGACUCAGGAUUACAACAAUCUGGGAGAGGGUCAACCAAGUCAGAGUCCCACAUGGCAGAAGAGCUGCUUUAGCUUAAGACUCUUAACUCUUUUUCUUCGGGGCAGGAAAGGUUUGAGCCAAUGAAGGAUGAGGCUUUCCAGGCCCAGGACACAACCUUGAUCCAAGGCCUAGUUGUGGCUUUAAUUUUUGUAAAUCAAGCCUCAAGUUUUUCUUCACUCUUUUAGCCAAAGAUAUGUUUCCCAGGAUGCAUGAAAUAAAUAAAUAAAAUGUACCAA
Molecule: long non-coding RNA, 1071 nt
Filed under: Homo sapiens (human)
Lineage: Eukaryota; Metazoa; Chordata; Mammalia; Primates; Hominidae
Description: HSALNT0327299
Source: RNAcentral